RNAcentral lists this long non-coding RNA (1987 nucleotides) under Pelobates cultripes (western spadefoot toad). Lineage: Eukaryota; Metazoa; Chordata; Amphibia; Anura; Pelobatidae. The record is from RNAcentral.
CUGUAUUACAACCUGUAGCAUUAUAAUGUUUCACUUACAAAAAUAAGUACAUAUGAAAUUUAUCUCCCUAAAAAAAUAGGUUAAAUUAAAUGUUUUGCUUAUAGUCUGUAUUAAUAAAGCUGGAUGUUUGGGGAGUUUAAUUCUGAUGGUUUCCUGCCUAGCUUAGCAUGUAACAGUUCAGUUCCAUAGUAACUAUUUUCCAUCCUGCAGGCUCAGGUGUUACAAUAUAACCGUGCAUGAUACAUUGGACAAGUUCUGACCUGCAUCAUACUUUACAUUGCCACCACUGGGUAAAGCUUUCUAAACCUAGACUGAUUCUCCUAUAAGCUCGUCAUGGAAGACUUUUGUGUCCAACUGGGAUGAGAGCGACAGAGAAUAUUGUGACACCAUGGAGGAGAUUUACAGAAAUGUGUCUAAUAGAGAGAUUGGACAAGGUUUUAAUAACUAAGAAAGCCAAUUAAAACUAACUGCUGGUCCAGUUCUAAAAAGUGCCUCCCCCUACCGCACAAAUCUAAAUUAUAUAGAUAUACACUGUCAUGAGAAAAAGAAUAUAAACUCUCUUUAAAUUCAAUGGUUUUACAUGUCAGGACAUAACAAUCUUUGAUCUCCCCACCGGCCCGAGAAAGGCACACAGCAAGUAUGCGGGCCCAGCUCUCCAUGGGCCGACAGGGGAGAUGAAGACUUGUCAGUCUCUACGGGGCCCCUAUGCUCAUGGGGCCCCCGGGCAUCUGCCCAGAUUUCCCAUGCAGUAAGAAAGUCCUGUUGCCAGAAGAAUGUCUCUACUCUCUAAAAAAGAACAUGGCAGCAUGGCUUAGGUUUGCAAAGUAGUAUCUGAAGAAAUCACAAGACGUCUGGAGAUAUGUCCUUUGGCCAGAUGACACCAAAGUAGAGAUGUUUGACCACAAUGCACAGUGCCUCAUCUGUCUAAAACCACACACAGCACAUCAGCACAAACACCUCAUGCCAACUGUCAAGCACGGUGGUGGAGAGGUGAUGAUCUGUUUUGCAGCCACAGGGCCUGGAAAUCUUGCAGUCAUUGAGUCAAUCAUGUAUAUACCUAAGGAUUCUAGAGUCAAAUGUGAAGCCAUCUGCUAAGGUUGGGCCGAAAUUGGGUCAUGCGACAGGACAAUGAUCACAAGCACACCAGCAAAUCUACAAACAAAAUGGCUGAAAAAGAAAAGAAUCAAGGUGUUGCAAUGGCUCAGUCAAAGUCCAGACUUUAAUCCGAUUGAAAUGCUAUGGCGGGACCUUAAGGCAUAAAUAAAUGCCAGCAUACCUCAAUGAGCUGAAGCAACGUUGUUGUAACAAAACCCCUCUCUGAUUGCAGUAGUUAUGGUGGUUUUUGACUUCCCUAUAGUGAUUAAGGUGUGGUUCUCCUUUCUGAUAUUUUAUGGCAACAAAACAAAGGACUCGUCCCUGGACUUCGUUUUCCCCUUGUCAUUGCUUGGAUUUUAUUUAAGACACUAGUUCUGCCCCUUUAAAUAAUAUUGGAACGGUUCUACACUUUUGAAGUGGCAGUUCGGAUACAGCCGAAGUGGCCGCCAUUCGAACACGUGGUGGCAGCCAUUUUAAUUCAGUUGAACGCUUUCAGCGGUGUUUGGUUGUCGAGUUUAUGGAACUCAAAUCGGACAUGCGACGCCACAAACACCACUGAACUUUACCUUCUCCAGAACUUUGACGGGAGUCGAACAGUGUUCGACAAUACGAACGACACUUAAAACUUGGUUAUUUGCACAAACGGCCACGUUCCUGGAUUCAAACAGAACUUAGUAUUGAAAAUAGACCAGGCGCACAGUCUAAAUCUGUGGCACUAUUUUGGGCAUGAAAGCCAUGCUUGCGGUCGGUGAAGAGAGACUUCCAUAAAACUUUUGAACUCCUGCUCUGAUCUGGGUGAUUUUUGGAUAUGUUGUUUGCCCAGAUCAGAGCUAUCCAGGGAUGCAUAUUUUGUGGGGAUAUGUUGGAGUUUUGGGGUGUUUCUGAACUUUGG